RNAcentral lists this ribosomal RNA (482 nucleotides) under uncultured bacterium. Its description in RNAcentral is "partial 16S ribosomal RNA". It matches the Rfam family "Bacterial small subunit ribosomal RNA", at positions 28 to 506 of the family's 1533-position model. The record is from RNAcentral.
GACGAACGCUGGCGGCGUGCUUAACACAUGCAAGUCGAACGCUGAAGCUCAGCUUUUGUUGGGUGGAUGAGUGGCGAACGGGUGAGUAACACGUGAGUAACCUGCCCCCUUCUUUGGGAUAACGCCCGGAAACGGGUGCUAAUACUGGAUAUUCACUGGUCUUCGCAUGGGGGUUGGUGGAAAGGGUUUUUCUGGUGGGGGAUGGGCUCGCGGCCUAUCAGCUUGUUGGUGGGGUGAUGGCCUACCAAGGCUUUGACGGGUAGCCGGCCUGAGAGGGUGACCGGUAACAUGGGGACGGAGAUACGGCCCAGAUUCCACCGGGGGGCAGCGGGGGGGAAAUUGGCACAAUGGGCGAAAGUCUGAGGCAGCGACGCCGCGGGAGGGAUGGGGGCCUUGGGGUUUGGAACCUCUUUGGCCAAUGGUCAAGCCGCAACAAUGGUUGUGGUGAGGGUAGUGGGGAAAGAAGCCCCGGCUACCUACGU